CUACGUGCCAGCAGCCGCGGUAAUACGUAGGUCCCGAGCGUUGUCCGGAUUUAUUGGGCGUAAAGCGAGCGCAGGCGGUUAGAUAAGUCUGAAGUUAAAGGCUGUGGCUUAACCAUAGUACGCUUUGGAAACUGUUUAACUUGAGUGCAAGAGGGGAGAGUGGAAUUCCAUGUGUAGCGGUGAAAUGCGUAGAUAUAUGGAGGAACACCGGUGGCGAAAGCGGCUCUCUGGUCUGUAACUGACGCUGAGGCUCGAAAGCGUGGGGAGCGAACAGGAUUAGAUACCCUGGUAGUCCACGCCGUAAACGAUGAGUGCUAGGUGUUGGAUCCUUUCCGGGAUUCAGUGCCGCAGCUAACGCAUUAAGCACUCCGCCUGGGAAGUACGACCGCAAGGUUGAAACUCAAAGGAAUUGAUGGGGGCCCGCACAAGCGGUGGAGCAUGUGGUUUAAUUCGAAGCAACGCGAAGAACCUUACCAGGUCUUGACAUCCCGAUGCUAUUUCUAGAGAUAGAAAGUUA
This 517-nucleotide ribosomal RNA is filed under the name uncultured bacterium. RNAcentral's name for it is "bacterial SSU rRNA". It matches the Rfam family "Bacterial small subunit ribosomal RNA", at positions 501 to 1016 of the family's 1533-position model. The record is from RNAcentral.